Molecule: long non-coding RNA, 868 nt
Organism: Lemur catta (Ring-tailed lemur)
Lineage: Eukaryota; Metazoa; Chordata; Mammalia; Primates; Lemuridae
Exons: 3
Source: RefSeq, a predicted model, not a curated record
UUCCUGAGAUCCUGCGGACUCGGUGGGCCCUAGUGGGCCCCAGACUGCGUUGCUAGCAAGUGCCCGGGCGCGGCCCAGGCUGCAGGUUCCAGCCCCGUUUCCCACGUUCCCGGGAGUGGGUCAGGUGGGCCGUGUGGCUCGGCCGUGUCCUGCCCUGUUUGGGGAGACCGCUGCGGCCUGUUCCGCAGACUCGUGGAACGUGGCCCGAGAGGCUCCUUGUCUAAAAGACGUUGAUCUCAGCAACAGCCCCACGUGGGCCUCCAGGCGCGGCCCCGGACAGCUGGGCUGGGGACAGCAGGAGCAGGAGGGGCUCUCCUGGGCCCCAGAGCUCUGCUUCUCUGGAUUCACUCGCUGAAAAACGGCAACAGCAGAAACCGCAGAGCGACGGGUCCAGGUGUGUGCUCCUUCCUGCCGAGUCCAGGAGUCACGCCACCUCAUUACGGAAACCUUUGCUCACGAAGACGUUGUCCUACAAAGUCUUUCCCAGAAGGCCGAAGUCUUGCUUUUACAUUGACAUGUGAUUCACGGGAUCCACUUCACGUCCACGUUUGUGUGUGGUGUCAGGGCAGAGGUUCGCUUCUUUGCGUUUUGACAUCCGCUUGCUCAGCACUGUUUGUUGAAAAGACUCCUGUCCCCAUUGUAUCACCCUGGCACCUCUGUUGGACAAAAACGUCUAUGUCUGGACGCCCACUCCAUCGGCCCGUGUGACUCUCCCUUGUGUCGGAGCGCACUGCCUCGACUGCUGUAGCUUUACGAUACGUUUUGCAAUCAGGUGCUAACGUGCAGCCUGCGGGCAGGGACGCCAGACCUUUGUUUUCUAACAGAAGCGCUGACCACCCACUGCUCUGGCAGCGGCCGCGGGUUUGCA